Long non-coding RNA from Arachis duranensis, 1737 nucleotides. RefSeq lists it as uncharacterized. NCBI's taxonomy places the organism in Eukaryota, Viridiplantae, Streptophyta, Magnoliopsida, Fabales, Fabaceae. The transcript is spliced from 3 exons. The record is from RefSeq and is a predicted model, not a curated record.
UCUUGGAAGCUUUGUCUUGGCUACAACUACCUCAAGUGCUUAAACAUUUGAUGGUUUUUGUGUGCAAUAGCUAUUUCAAUGGUUUUAUCUUGUAAAGUUGUAAACAAUGGUUUGGCUGCUUGAUGGAUUUUGUGUGCAAUAGCUAUUUCAAUGAAAAACUUGUUUUACUACUUUAACUUAUAAAAAAUAAUUUAACUUCAACCUGAAGGCUGCUCAAUGUGAUCACUGAUCAGUUUGAAAUUUACAUAUAUGCUGUUGUUUAGUAUUUUGUAAUCUAUAUAUUAUUUGAUUAGCUGAGUAGUUGUAGGGUCAAGUCUUGUUCUGUUUCCUUUUUUAGCUAAAUUGUGUCUCUCAUUUAAAUAUAAGGUAUUGGUACAGAUCAGAAUGUUCCGUGCCUGCAUUUGUUUUUUGCUCUUCCUGAGAUUGCACAUACAUAGAUAGAUACUCCUUUAAUUUAAGCCAUUAGUAAUUGUAAUUAUUUAAUUUAAAACAUUAAUUUGUGGGCAUGUGAUUCAUCUACUACUAAAUAAUAUGUAUGGACAGAUUGGGACGAGAAGUAAGCCAUGUAUGUUAAUGGAAAUUAACCUAAAAAUGGUUCAUAAAGCUAAGCUACACAUUGCACAUGUGCCUCCACAACUUUGAUGAACUAUACACAAUACAGACAUGCAUUGCAUAACUUUGUAUUUAUGUUCGUUAUAUAUCAUAUGUGUGUUUGUGCCUUAUUGAUUUAGUUUAAGGGGGGAAGUCCAUUUGAAUUAAGUGUAAUUAAAAAACCUGGGUACCUCAUCACUGCAUUGUAAUCUCCCCAUUUAGUUAGAGGUCAGUAUUUGUUUAGAUAUAAAAGCACAUGCAUUUCUAUGUUUAAAUUUUCAUAUAGAAAUCAGUGUUUUUGUCUUCGCUAGUUGCUACUUAGUAAUAAAUUUUAUUGUUUUUCAUGGUAUCUCCAAGUACUAGUCAUUUCAAUUAAUUGGAUGUCCUUUUGACAUUAGAAUUUUACUGCAUGCAGAUCUAUAAUUUGGACAGCACAGACUUUGCAAUUCUCUUGCAGUUUCAUUUAAGCUCUAUGAUUUGGACAGCACAGACUUUAUAGAAUGCCAAAGAGGUAGCUAUUCUUUUUAUUUGAUGCUUCAGGAUGUAAGUAACUUAUUUUUUUAUGGAGGAAGAGAUGGAUAGAUUCAGCAAAGUUCAAGAGAGUUUCUUGCCAAGUUCUUCAACUCUCAAUAUACUUGAAUUCAUGUUAGUGAUCAAAACAUAAAUGUGGAGCCAAUUAAAUUGUUGCAAUUGUGAAAAAUGUGAUGCUUUAGUAAUUUUUUAUUUGAAUUUUGGCAGAUUGUUGAUAUUAACAAAACUCUGUUGUUGUUCAUAGAGCUUCAAACCUUAGGUGACAGCUUCUGUGAUUUGGUUUAAUGGAGGUUCCAAUUUACAGGAAUACCAAAGAUUUAGAAUUGGAAAUGAUGGGAACUUACAAGGAGUGCUAUUAGAUUGAUUCUUUGGACACUUUGGCUCUACUCGGUGACCGUGACCGCUUUGCCGCUUCCGUUGAAUGGAUUGGUAAAAAUAACCAGGAUGAAAAACAUGAAAACAAAGGAAAAGAUGAGAGCUGUGAAGUUGCUAAAAGCGGUGCAUCUGAAAGGGAAGAUGCAACUGACGAGAUUUAGCAUAUAGGACAAGUCAAGCAUGGAUAUAAAAUAUGCAAGUAGAUUGACAUCUUUUUUACAAAUAUUAAUUACUAUUUUG